This is a non-coding RNA of Erinaceus europaeus (western European hedgehog), 263 nucleotides long. Lineage: Eukaryota; Metazoa; Chordata; Mammalia; Eulipotyphla; Erinaceidae. The record is from Rfam.
UAGUGCCCAAUGUGGGGCCCGAGGCACGGGGGAUCCAGUGAGGAACGCCAUUCAUCAGAAAAAAGGACUGCAGUCGUUUCAUUAAUCAAGACGUCGCCGCGAACACACCGGUUCGAAGGAGAGACCUGGAAGGUAAGCGGACGGUGAUAUCACAGGACAAAAAAUCAGUGCACAAGAUAAAGACUCACUCAAGGCACGAGGAGUAAGGGUUAAGAAAAAAGAUCUUACUCAUUUUUUCCUUUUCCUUAGAGAUAUUUGCCUUU